Molecule: ribosomal RNA, 41 nt
Organism: Seriola lalandi dorsalis
Lineage: Eukaryota; Metazoa; Chordata; Actinopteri; Carangiformes; Carangidae
Source: Ensembl
CUGAACACGCCCGAUCUCGUCCGAUCUCGGAAGCCAAGCAG